Molecule: long non-coding RNA, 2691 nt
Organism: Tachysurus fulvidraco (yellow catfish)
Lineage: Eukaryota; Metazoa; Chordata; Actinopteri; Siluriformes; Bagridae
Exons: 3
Source: RefSeq, a predicted model, not a curated record
UCUUGUGUUUGUUGUCCAGUAGAGUUUUUGUCUGUUUGCACUUCAUGGGGCUUGGACAACUUACAACUCAUGUGUUGAGGUUUGUCUCCCCUUAGUGGCAAAUAAGUAUAUACGGUAUCACGCUAAGUUAUGUGUCACGUGAUGACGCAUGCUGGCUGUGCGCGUGCAUGGAGCGAGAGGGGGGUGGGAGAGGGGGAUAGCUUGGUGAUUAUCGAGGCUAAGGAUUAAAAUAUGAUUUUCUUGCCUUAACUAAGCUUUGUUUAUUAAAACAGUGAUAUCCGACACUUACUGUAUUUUUGUCAGUUUAACGACUUAAAGUUAAGCAGGUUGGCGACAGUCGGCUGUGAGGGUGGAUUUAAACUGUUACAUAUUUUCAAACUAUUUAAAAUUUCAGAAAAUGCAAAUGUUGUUUGGACAAAAUAUCUAGGUUUUGUUACUAAUGUAUUUUAGUUCCACAGUUCAGUGUUUAUUACAAAUCUCCUAACAGGGCCAAAGGUUGGAGACGAGAUGAGAUGCAGUUAUCCAGUGGUGGAGAACCUAUUCAAAGACAGCAAACCACAAAAACAGAAGCUGCAUUACAUUGAGAGCAACUGGCAACACUUAUGACCACAACCUUCUUAAGCAUGAUGCCACUAGUCAGAGCACAUCAUCGAUGCCCGGUGUAGAGGUGCUUUUCUCUGGAUUACACCAGGUGCCCUGUAAAUGACAUGUGAAGGCUAUCGCAGAUAUGUCAGUCUAUUUAUCAUCGGUAUGCCAAGAUGAUGUCAAUCAAGAAGACUUAAGUAAUGAUGUCAUGACAAUUCCUGUCCAUGGAAACAGAGAUGAGGAGCCAGUCGUGUCCUAAAGAAGGAAGCAAGGUGAACAAAACAAAAGGGGAAAAUACUACAAAAGCUUGUGCUCUUCUGACGGGUCUGAUGCCUUAUGCCUUAAACCUACACUAUCCAUCAAAUCUGAAAUACACUUUUGAGGUUUUUAAAAAAACUCUUUCUGGAUCUCGAUGGACUUAAGCUUUCUCCUAAAGUACCGUCUUAGAAAACCAAGCUGCACACUUGAAAUGAUUCAAGAACUGUUUUGAGCUGCUUGAGCUGUUUAAAUUCUUAGACCAGUUGUUCAAAUGUAAGCUGAUCGGAUUUUGGUUAUCGGAUUGGAUCAAAUCUUGAAAAUGGGUUGUUCAAAAGGGAAAGAAGGAAUCUGAAAUCCGAUUAGAUUACAAAAUCCAAUCCUAGUUUUAAUCUGGAUCAAACCAUCAGUUUGUCUUGUUGAAAACUAGUCAGUGGGAUUUGGAUAACUUUGAUCCAAAAAAAAACAGGAUUAUCCUGAUCCUAAUAGGGGGGUAGGAUUUCAAGGUGGAUUCCAGGAGGAAAAUGUAGUAAAACUUUAAAAUGGGUCAAAUAAUACUGUACAUUUGUAUCAUUUAGUGUAUAUACUUUUAUUGUAGCAAAACUUCAAAACAAAAAUUCAGAUAUGCCUCCUAAAAGCAGAGCUUGGAAAUGCUGGUCUCUCCUCCUCAGAUGAAAAAUAACCCUGAAUAUUUUGUUAACUAUUGGACAUUUAGCAAUUUUAUUUUUUUAACCUGUUAUGGACCUCGCCCCCUAUUUGUAGGAUUUUCGCCUACAUGACCUACCCACCUAAAAAGUGGUACAGCUCCCACAUACUUUGACACACAGGGGUGAGCCUGGUCUCAUUGGAAAGAAGAGAGUCUCUAGUUUCAGAUACAAGUGAGUCUAGGCCUUACUGACACAAAGUUGCAAAGGCUAGAAUGGAGGGUUUUGAUUUCCGUCUGAGAUUUUUCUGAUAAACUGAUUAAUCUUAUUGCUGUGAAACAUGUUAGGAGCUAAAUAACAACUGAGGGUCAUAGCCACAAAAUUUCAAGUCAAAAGACCCAAAAAUGGAUUCUAUAAAAAUAUUUUUCUACGGACAUGUCCAUCCGUUCAUGUUUUUCUUGUUUACUGUAUAACUUUGAAUUAAAAGACUGCAUGCUCAGUUUAAAAGGCCUAAAACAAAGAGAUCAUGAUCCGGAUCAUGAAAUUGCUACUGGAGGGAGCAAUUGUCAGUCAAAGGGAGGGUGUCCCACCUAGGAUGGAGAGACAUCAUUGGCUUCUCAGCCGUCUAUCUCUGCACUACAGGCGCCGAUUGGCUCAAGUCAGGGCUUGUUUGAUUCAUUAGGCCCUGGACUACAAAUCUGAUGCAACAGUGUAGUUUUAGAAGCCUCAUGGAGAAGUGAGAGCCGAAACAAAGGACGGAGGUGAACUGCUGUUCACUACGAAUUUUGAUUCAAUUAGUAUGACGGCUAUAAAUCAUAUUAUGCUUUGUGUGUGGGCUUAAUAAAAUCUUGAGAGUCUAAGCUUUGGAACAAAAAUAAGUUUAACCGUGUAUUUAGAGGAUUUAAUGCUUAAAAGCUACAACGAAGUUGAUGCAGCCUCAUCCCCUAGUGGUCAUUUUCCGUGUUGUGCCAAAUUCUUAAAGUUCUAAGUGUGUAUUUUGAUCUGAGCUUCAUAUUAAUUACCACUGUGGAGUGAGACAUGACAAAACAUUCAAUACUGAACAUAUACACAAUAAAACAAUUGCAAACUCCAGUCUAGAAUCCUGAAUGUUUAAUAGUCAAGCUAUCAAACAUUUUCAUGCUCAUGCAACACAUAUAGACAGGGAUCUGGGAUUGGAUUUGGGUUUACAUUUAUAUAUAUAUGUAUG